This 217-nucleotide ribosomal RNA is filed under the name uncultured bacterium. Its description in RNAcentral is "partial 16S ribosomal RNA". It matches the Rfam family "Bacterial small subunit ribosomal RNA", at positions 125 to 334 of the family's 1533-position model. The record is from RNAcentral.
CCGUACCCAUCAGAGGGGGAUAACACUUGGAAACAGGUGCUAAUACCGCAUAACAGUUUAUGCCGCAUGGCAUAAGAGUGAAAGGCGCUUUCGGGUGUCGCUGAUGGAUGGACCCGCGGUGCAUUAGCUAGUUGGUGAGGUAACGGCUCACCAAGGCCACGAUGCAUAGCCGACCUGAGAGGGUGAUCGGCCACACUGGGACUGAGACACGGUCCAG